UACAGAGGGUGCGAGCGUUAAUCGGAUUUACUGGGCGUAAAGGGCGCGUAGGCGGUGAUGAAGGUGUGAUGUGAAAGCCCUGGGCUUAACCUGGGAAGUGCAUCGCAAACCAGAUCACUGGAGUACAAGAGAGGGUGGCGGAAUUUCCGGUGUAGCGGUGAAAUGCGUAGAGAUCGGAAGGAACGUCAAUGGCGAAGGCAGCCACCUGGCUUGAUACUGACGCUGAAGCGCGAAAGCGUGGGGAGCGAACAGG
RNAcentral lists this ribosomal RNA (253 nucleotides) under uncultured bacterium. RNAcentral describes it as "partial 16S ribosomal RNA". It matches the Rfam family "Bacterial small subunit ribosomal RNA", at positions 524 to 776 of the family's 1533-position model. The record is from RNAcentral.